GCAUGUAAGCAUCUCUGCAGUUGCUGUCCCCAGAGCCCACUUCCUGGAUAUUGCCAGCUGCCUGGACCAACCUUUCCGAAAGAUCAGCCAGGUCACAGUGAGGGUCAAAGGCUGCGUGCUGAGGCUCCAUCGCUGUGCUGGGUGAGGGGUGGAGGACUGUCCAGCUGACAGCCACCCAGGAGGCCUGCCCAGGAGACCCAGCCCAGCCUCUCCUUGGAACCUGAAGAACUCCAGGCAGCUGAUGGGACACUGGGGCCCAGGGUGGGCUGCACCCACUGUCCAACCAGUCCCAAUGAGAUGAACCAGGACAUUGGCAAGCACGUUGAUAGAGUGCCCACAUUGUACUGAACUCUGAGGGGAAUAGUCUCGUCCCCAUCACUCAGGUGGGGAAACUGAGGAGGAGGCCACUGGAGGCUCCAAGGGCUCUGAAAUGUUGAGAACUUCCCUGCAGGUACCAGCGAAGAGGGCAAGAACACAGCACUACUUCCUUGGAUACUGUUUCCCUCCUCAGAGGGGUUUUCUGAGCUGCCCUGGGUCCUGUGAGGAAGGUCUCCCCUUCCUGUAAAGACACCAGUCCUACUGGAUCAGGGCCCACCCGUGUGACUUCACUUUUACUUGAGUACCUCUCACAGACCCUAACUCCAAAUCAGGUCACUUGCUGAGGUACUGCAUGUGAAGACUUUGACAUUUGAAUUUUGAGGGGGCCACCGUUUAACCUGAACCACCAAGGACAGAGCCAAAGACCCUGGGUGACAGGCCCAGAACAGGACCUGGUGGAGGCUCUUCUUUAGGGGAGAGAGGGAAAUGGGAGCCACCACUGGCAGAGCCUGAAGGCAGGGCAGCCAGAAAGAAGCUGUGGGAGUCCCCACCAUGGAAGACCCUGCCGAGCAUCCUGUGUCUCCUGAAGCAGACCCUGACAUGAGGACUGGGGGCACGUGUUUAUUAAGGGCGAUCCCCGGAAGGAGGAGAUAACCAGGGACCAGCUUCAGCCCUUCUUGCUCUCCAUGGCAGAAGUCCUAGCAGAGUAUGCCCACGCUGGUUAGUGCUGCUGCAAAGAUGAGCCGAAGACCAUGAGAGACCUCCAGGUGGUCCUUCUGGGGAGAAGAAAUGGGUUUUGGCCCCAAAUCCUUCUGCUGCAUUUUUCCCCUAUCCCUGGGAAGCCAUGAGACCUCAAACCUGUGUUCCCAAGGAGGCGAGCUGCUGUUCCCAGGUGAUGAUAUGAUGUGCUUGGGGAAAGUAAGUGGCUGCCAGACAUGGCUGAGAGCUGUUGUCACUGCCGUCAAGUGCAUGUCUCCAAGCCAUAUCACACGGCGUCCCUCGAUGUGAGGCCACAUGGCAAGUGGGCCGUGGAUCUCCCUCUGCCCUUUGCAAGCACGUAAGACAGCAGAUUUUGCAGAUACCUUGUGGCGCAGGGGAAUUUCCUUUGGCCAGGUCUGAAGAAAUAAAGCAGCAGGCACCGAGAACAAAGCCAAGGCUUUCAAAAGACAAGGAGCCAAAAAACUUACUCAAAAUAAAAGUAGUUUUAAAAUGUCU
This 1533-nucleotide long non-coding RNA is filed under the name Homo sapiens (human). RNAcentral describes it as "HSALNT0265658". Lineage: Eukaryota; Metazoa; Chordata; Mammalia; Primates; Hominidae. The record is from RNAcentral.